RNAcentral lists this ribosomal RNA (492 nucleotides) under uncultured bacterium. RNAcentral's name for it is "partial 16S ribosomal RNA". It matches the Rfam family "Bacterial small subunit ribosomal RNA", at positions 29 to 507 of the family's 1533-position model. The record is from RNAcentral.
AGUGAACGCUGGCGGUAGGCCUAACACAUGCAAGUCGAACGGCAGCACAGUAAGAGCUUGCUCUUACGGGUGGCGAGUGGCGGACGGGUGAGGAAUACAUCGGAAUCUACUUUUUCGUGGGGGAUAACGUAGGGAAACUUACGCUAAUACCGCAUACGACAUACGGGUGAAAGCAGGGGAUCUUCGGACCUUUCGCGAUUGAAUGAGCCGAUGUCGGAUUAGCCAGUUGGCGGGGUAAAGGCCCACCAAGGCGACGAUCCGUAGCUGGUCUGAGAGGAUGAUCAGCCACACUGGAACUGAGACACGGUCCAGACUCCUACGGGAGGCAGCAGUGGGGAAUAUUGGACAAUGGGCGCAAGCCUGAUCCAGCCAUACCGCGUGGGUGAAGAAGGCCUUCGGGUUGUAAAGCCCUUUUGUUGGGAAAGAAAAGCAGCAGGUUAAUACCCCGCUGUUCUGACGGUACCCAAAGAAUAAGCACCGGCUAACUUCGUG